Molecule: ribosomal RNA, 1485 nt
Filed under: uncultured Pedobacter sp.
Lineage: Bacteria; Pseudomonadati; Bacteroidota; Sphingobacteriia; Sphingobacteriales; Sphingobacteriaceae
Description: bacterial SSU rRNA
Rfam family: Bacterial small subunit ribosomal RNA
Source: RNAcentral
AGAGUUUGAUCAUGGCCCAGGAUGAACGCUAGCGGCAGGCCUAAUACAUGCAAGUCGAACGAGAUUAAGAGGCUUGCUUCUUAUGAAAGUGGCGCACGGGUGCGUAACGCGUAUGCAACCUACCUUAAUCAGGGGGAUAGCCCGAAGAAAUUCGGAUUAAGACCGCAUAAAAACACAGGAUAGCAUUAUCCAAUGUUCAAAUAUUUAUAGGAUUAAGAUGGGCAUGCGUGUCAUUAGCUAAUUGGCGGGGUAACGGCCCACCAAGGCGACGAUGACUAGGGGAUCUGAGAGGAUGACCCCCCACACUGGUACUGAGACACGGACCAGACUCCUACGGGAGGCAGCAGUAAGGAAUAUUGGUCAAUGGAGGGAACUCUGAACCAGCCAUGCCGCGUGCAGGAAGACAGCCCUCUGGGUCGUAAACUGCUUUUAUUCGGGAAUAAACCUUUCUACGUGUAGGAAGCUGAAUGUACCGAAGGAAUAAGGAUCGGCUAACUCCGUGCCAGCAGCCGCGGUAAUACGGAGGAUCCAAGCGUUAUCCGGAUUUAUUGGGUUUAAAGGGUGCGUAGGCGGCUUAUUAAGUCAGGGGUGAAAGACGGUGGCUCAACCAUCGCAGUGCCCUUGAUACUGAUGAGCUUGAAUACACUAGAGGUAGGCGGAAUGUGACAAGUAGCGGUGAAAUGCAUAGAUAUGUCACAGAACACCGAUUGCGAAGGCAGCUUACUAUGGUGUUAUUGACGCUGAGGCACGAAAGCGUGGGGAUCAAACAGGAUUAGAUACCCGGGUAGUCCACGCCCUAAACGAUGAAUACUCGCUGUUAGCGAUAUACAGUUAGCGGCUAAGCGAAAGCGUUAAGUAUUCCACCUGGGGAGUACGCCCGCAAGGGUGAAACUCAAAGGAAUUGACGGGGGCCCGCACAAGCGGAGGAGCAUGUGGUUUAAUUCGAUGAUACGCGAGGAACCUUACCCGGGCUUGAAAGUUAGUGAAUGAUCUAGAGAUAGAUCAGUGAGCAAUCACACGAAACUAGGUGCUGCAUGGCUGUCGUCAGCUCGUGCCGUGAGGUGUUGGGUUAAGUCCCGCAACGAGCGCAACCCCUAUGUUUAGUUGCCAGCACGUUAAGGUGGGGACUCUAAACAGACUGCCUGUGCAAACAGAGAGGAAGGAGGGGACGACGUCAAGUCAUCAUGGCCCUUACGUCCGGGGCUACACACGUGCUACAAUGGAUGGUACAGAGGGCAGCAAGCUGGCAACAGCAAGCGAAUCUCAAAAAGCCAUUCACAGUUCGGAUAGAGGUCUGCAACUCGACCUCUUGAAGUUGGAUUCGCUAGUAAUCGCGUAUCAGCAAUGACGCGGUGAAUACGUUCCCGGGCCUUGUACACACCGCCCGUCAAGCCAUGGAAGUUGGGGGUACCUAAAGUAUGUAACCGUAAGGAGCGUCCUAGGGUAAAACCGAUAACUGGGGCUAAGUCGUAACAAGGUAACCGU